GCGCUAACUCUCCAAUUUAGCCUGCUAGUCGUGCGGGUUUAGACCCGCGGCGUAUAGCUCAUUAACACGUGGCCAAACUACCCUACAGACGAGAACAACCUCGGGAAACUGAGGCUAAAACUCGAUACGCGUUGCACGGAUGAACACGGCGACGCUCAAACGCUUCGGCGCUGUAGGAUGUGGCUGCGGCCGAUUAGGUAGACGGUGGGGUAACGGCCCACCGUGCCGAUAAUCGGUACGGGUUGUGAGAGCAAGAGCCCGGAGACGGAAUCUGAGACAAGAUUCCGGGCCCUACGGGGCGCAGCAGGCGCGAAACCUUUACACUGCACGCCAGUGCGAUAAGGGGACCCCGAGUGAAAGGGCAUAUCGCCCUUUCUUUUCUGAACNGUAGGGAGGUUCAAGAACAAGAGCUGGGCAAGACCGGUGCCAGCCGCCGCGGUAAUACCGGCAGCUCGAGUGAUGACCGAUUUUAUUGGGCCUAAAGCGUCCGUAGCUGGCCNCGCAAGUCUGUCGGGAAAUCCACCCGCUUAACGGGUGGGCGUCCGGCGGAAACUGUGCGGCUUGGGACAAGAAAGGCUCAAGGGGGUACCUUCGGGGUAAGGAAUUGAAAUCCCGUAAUNCUGAACCGACCACCNGAUUUGGGAAAAGCACCNANAAAAGAACUGNUCCNANANAUNAAAGGAAANAAAAACUGGGGNUCNUNNAACCCNGAAUUANAANANCCCNGNUAUUCCCNAGCCCAUAAAACAAUGUUUCNNUANG
Molecule: ribosomal RNA, 762 nt
Filed under: uncultured archaeon
Lineage: Archaea
Description: partial 16S ribosomal RNA
Rfam family: Archaeal small subunit ribosomal RNA
Source: RNAcentral